RNAcentral lists this ribosomal RNA (512 nucleotides) under uncultured bacterium. RNAcentral's name for it is "partial 16S ribosomal RNA". It matches the Rfam family "Bacterial small subunit ribosomal RNA", at positions 28 to 507 of the family's 1533-position model. The record is from RNAcentral.
GAUGAACGCUGGCGGCGUGCCUAAUACAUGCAAGUCGAACGAAACUUCUUUAUCUCCGCGUGCUUGCCGUCACCGAUAAAGAGUUGAGUGGCGAACGGGUGAGUAACACGUGGGCAACCUGCCCAAAAGAGGGGGGUCACACUUGGAAAAAGGUGAUAAUACCGCAUAACCAUAGUUACCGCAUGGUAACUGUGAAAAAGGUGGCUCUUCUACCGCUUUUGGAUGGGUAAGGGGCGCAUUAGCUGGUUGGUAGGGUAAAGGCUUACAAAGGCAAGGAUGAGUAGCCGAAUUGAGAGGUUGAUCGGCCACAUUGGGACUGAGACACGGCCAAAACGCCUACGGGAGGCAGCAGAAGGGAAUCGUCGACAGUGGGCGAAAGUCUGAUAGAGCGAGGCCGAGUGGGUGAAGAAGGUCUUCGGAUCGUAAAGCCCUGUUGUUAGUGAAGAAAGUGCGUCAGUGGAAAUGUUCACGUAUCGACGGUACCUAACCAGAAAGCCACGGCUAACUACGUG